AGUCUUAAAUUUAUGGAACAAUUGGGAGAUUCGAGGAAUGGUUUUGCUUAGUCUCUUACUACAAACCAUCCUCAUCAUAUUUGGGUCUCGGCGAAAGACCACUGGCAGAAUCUGGAUCAGGAUUCUCGUUUGGUCUGCAUAUCUAUCAGCAGACAUGGUGGCAACUGUUGCGCUGGGUAAUCUAGCCAGGAGCCAAGGAGAUUCAUCAGGUGACAGUUCAGAGAAAGCAAACAAUUCCAUCCAGACAUUUUGGGCACCUUUUCUACUCCUGCACCUUGGUGGCCCAGACACAAUCACUGCAUACUCAAUUGAAGAUAACGAGUUGUGGUUAAGGCAUUUACUUGGUCUUGGAGUCCAAGUCGGAGUGGCUUUUUAUGUCUUCUCAAGGUCCUGGGGUAGCGGUAUCCUCACAUUCAUAGCAAUCCCAAUGUUCAUUGUUGGCAUUGUUAAGUACGCAGAGAGGACUUGGGUGCUCCGGUCUUCAUGCUCCAAGAGUUUGAAAAACUCUACUCUCUCAGAUUUUUGGGAUUCCUAUAGUCAUACGAGAAUAUCAGAAACUCGUCUACAAGACCUCCAGGGAAAUUAUCUUCUUCAAGCUUAUAUUUUUUCUUAUAUAUCCAAGUUUAUGAUGCAGGAUCUUGUCCCUGACAUUCUUUCACUAAUAAGAAGCCGGGGGCUGAUUUCCAAAAAUAAAGCAGACGGUGCCUUCAAGGUGGUAGAGGUUGAGCUUGGAUUGAUAUAUGAUAUGCUUUAUACUAAAGCGCCUUUGAUUUACUCCCGUUUCGGAAUCAUUCUUCGCUCUAUCAGCUUUCUGCUCUCUAUUACUGCGUUUAUUACCUUCCAAGUCAAGAUUGGCAAGGACGCCUACUCAAAGACCGACAUUGCAAUUACAUAUUUAUUGUUUGCAGCCGCUGUUUUUCUCGAGUUUUAUGCUUUUUUAUGCCUUGUUUUGUCUGACUGGACAAUGAUUUGGUUGAUUCUUAAAGGAGGGAACGCCCUGACUAGUGCAAUUUAUUCUCAGUUAAGGAAGUUAACUAGAAGCGAGAGGUGGUCGAUGACAGUUUCUUAAGCUCUUAAUUAUACAAACAAUUGUUAAAAGCAAGAAAACUAUAUUAUUUCAGAUGAGAGAUUAAGGCUUUAUAUCAGCCUUUACACAGCAGGAAUAAUGGAAAUAACGGAACCACUAAAGACGUGGUCAAGCGGUUACAAGAAAAUCGAAUUAAAAACUGAAGUCCAAAGGAUCCGGACAUUAUUAACUUAAAUAGCAGUAACGGUUAAUACUAAAUCAACACAACAAACUCUCCCUUAAACUGACUUGCAAUUUCGUCAGUUUAAAAUUGGUGUUGUGCAAACUCCAAGUAGUUCUCUCAGUCUUGUGAAUACUUCAAGCGUCAAAGGCUUAGUCAUAAUAUCUGCCAACUGAUCUUUGGAACCACAAAACUCUAACUUAACAAUUCCAUCCAUUGUUAAGUCACGAAGAAAAUGGAAUCUGACAUCAAUGUGCUUGCUUCUUCCGUGCAUAACAGGAUUUUUUGAUAAUUUGAUAGUAGAGCUGUUAUCACAGAAUAUAUCAGUGCACUUGCUUCGUUCAAAACCAAGUUCAUCAAGAAUUCUUCGCAUCCAUAUACUUUGACAUGCGCAAGCGGCAGCAGCUAUGAACUCGGCUUCAGUAGUGGAAAGAGUAACUACUGGUUGUUUCUUUGAAGACCAUGCGACAGCACCUGAACUGAGUAAGAAUGCAUAUCCUGAUGUGCUUUUCCGGUCUUCAGUAUCUCCUGCAUAGUUGCUGUCCGUAUAGGCUGCCAACUUCUCUUCUCCUCCUUUUUGAUAAGAGAUUCCCAGCUCAGUUGUUCCUUUGAUGUAACGAAGAACUCUCUUUACAGCUUGUUGAUGUAACUCAGUUGGUCGUUCCAUGAAUCUGCUGACCAAACUUACCACAAAUGCUAAGUCUGGUCUGGUGGCAGUCAAGUACAUGAGGCUACCCACCAUCUGCUUAUAUGUUGUGGCAUCAACACUUACCCCACCUUCGUCUUUUGCAAGUUUGAAACCUGGUAUAAUUGGAUUUUUGACAGGAUUGCAGUUUCUCAUGCCAAAUCUUUCAAGCACCUCAUUAGCAUAUUUCCUUUGAUUGAUGAAGAUCCCUCCUCUAUGUUGUACUACUUCCACGCCAAGAAAAUAUUUCAUUCUCCCAAGAUCAGACAUGUCAAACUCUUGUUUCAUAGAGUUCUUGAACCUUUCGAACAUUUCUACAUUAUUUCCUGUAAAAAUAAGAUCGUCAACGUAAACACUUACAAGAAGACAUUUCCCUUCCAUUUUCUUUGUAAACAAGGUAUGUUCACUCGGACAUCUUUCAAAACCUUCUUUAAUGAAAUAGGACUCCAGUUUGUUGUACCAAGCUCGAGGAGCUUGCUUGAGUCCAUAUAGAGCUUUCUUGAGUCUAUAAACCUUGUAUUCUGCUCCUUUUACUUCAUAGCCUUGUGGUUGUUCAAUAAAAACGGCUUCGUUGAGCUCUCCAUGUAAGAAAGCACUUUUCACAUCGAGCUGAUACACAUCCCAACCUCUACAAGCAGCAAGAGCUAGUAUCAUUCGAAUAGUAUCCCAUCGAGCUACCGGUGCAAAGACUUCAGUGUAGUCAAUUCCAAAUUUCUGUGAGAAACCCUUUGCGACAAGCCUUGCUUUGAAUUUAUCUACUUUCCCAUUCUCAUUGAGCUUGGUCUUGAAGACCCAUUUUACUCCAAUCCGUUUGGCUCCAUAUGGAAGUGUAGUCAGCUCCCACGUUCCAUUCUUCUCAAUAGAAUUAAUUUCCAAAUCCAUUGCUUCUCUCCACUUCGGGUGCUUGGCAGCUUCUUCAAACAAGAUGGGAUCAUUGGAGGCUGUGAGCAACAUGAAGUUACUUUCUUCAUCUGAGUCAGAUAAGCCGUCACCAGUUACAUAAUCUUGCAAGUAAGCUGGUAUCCGUCUAACUCUCCCUUGAGCUGGACUGGAAAUGUCUUCGCUGGAUGAAGAAAUAAUUCCAGGAGAAUUUGCAUCAGCAACUCCAGAACUGUCACCAGUAGUAUUGCUGUCACUCUGUGGCUCUUCUUCUGCAUUAUCAUCUCCUUCAAAUGCUGGUUGCACAUUAAGUUCAUCAUUGUUGUCAACCAACUGUUCUGCUUCUACAUUGUCAUGUUCUCGUGCUGGAUGAUCCGCAUGCUGCCAUUCUGUUUCUGCAUUGUCACCCCACGUAAGAGUUUGAUUUUCAGUUUCUACCGUACUCCAAUCCCAUUGCUUAUCUUCUUCAAACACCACAUCUCUGCUCACAAUGAUUUUUGCAGACACUGGAUCAUACAUUCUAUAAGCUUUAGAUUCCUGACUCAACCCCAAGAAGAUACACCGAAGGCUUUUAUCAUCAAGUUUUUGCCGGUGCUUAUCAUAAAUAUGAACAUGACCAAUGCAACCGAACACUUUGAAGUAUUCUACUGAUGGCUUGAACCCAGACCAAGCUUCCUCUGGUGUCAUGUCUUUAACUGCAAAUGUAGGACAACGGUUGAGCAGAUGAACUGCCCAGUUGACAGCUUCUGGCCAAAAUAUUUUUGGUACCAGCUUUUCUGCUAAUAUACAACGCACCAUAUUCAUAAUAGUUCGGUUUUUUCGCUCUGCAACCCCAUUUUGCUGAGGGGUAUAGGCUGCUGUGAGUUGUCUAACAAUACCAUUAGAGCUGCAGUAUUCAUUGAAAUCAGACGAAGUAAACUCCCCCCCCCGAUCAGUUCGAAGACAGCAUAUAACAUUUGCAGAUUCUUUUUCUACUAGACACUUGAACUUUUUGAACAUGGCAAGUGCUUCGGAUUUAAGAUUCAGAAAAUAAGUCCACAGUUUUCUGCUAUAAUCAUCUGUAAAUGUGAGUAUAUACCUCUUAUGACUGCUGGACUCGGGUGUAAUGGGACCACAGAUGUCAGCAUGAAUGAGUUGCAAUUUUUGUGUAGCUCUCCACAUACUCUUUCUGGGGAUGAAUUCUCGAUGCUGCUUCCCUGUCAUACAUACUGUGCAGACAGUAGAGGACUCAUGGAGAUGAGGCAGGCCUUUCACCAUUUGCUUACGGGACAAGAUACUCAAGCCUUUGAAAUGUAGAUGCCCAUAUCUACGGUGCCAUAGAUCAGCUGGACUUUCAGAUGUAGUCUUGAAGCAUGUAGGAAUGAGGACUUGAGUUUGCAUCUGUGUUUCUCGUUCAGCCAGAAGGAUAAACAUCCGAUUAGCAGACAUUUGAGUACUCAUAAUUAACCCUCGUUUAUGAUGAUAAAUUUUGCAUUCACCAUGUUCCAUUAGAAUAGCCAAGUUGCGUUCUUGAAGCUGACCAAUACUAAGAAGAUUAUUUCUUAGCUCAGGUAAGUAAAAUACAUCACCAAUCAGCUGACUUGUGCCAUUAAUCCGAAGCUUGAUGUUUCCUUUCCCCAUCACAGCCAUUUUGGUGUCAUUGCCAAGCUUCACAAAUUGCCGAAAGGUUUCAUCCAGAUGACUGAACCACUUCUUAUCUCCUGUCAUAUGAUUGCUGCAGCCCGAAUCAAGAAACCACAUUGUUUCUUUUGAGUUGGUAGGCGCUGUUUGACACCAGGUGCUGUUUGAGCUAUCAUGUGCUGUGUAAGCCAUCAGCAACAUUUCUUCUUCAUUUAUUUCAGCAUAAUGAGCGCCCUUUUCCCAGCUAGGACAUUCAUAUUGAAAGUGUCCUAGCUUGUGACACUUGUAGCACUCCACAAGUGCUUUGUUAAAUCCAUGUCUGCCUCUACCUCUUCCACGACCCCGAAACGCAUUUCGACCACCGCGACUCCUUCCUCCUUCAUAUGAAACAUUCAGUGCUUGUUCAUCAUUUUGAAAAUGACGAUUCAAUCUUUGUUCAUGAACAAGUAAACUGCUUUGCAAUUCAUCUAUAGUAAGUUGGCUUAAAUCAUUAGACUCCUCUACUGAACAUACCACAUAGUCAAAUCGAAAAGUCAUUGAUCUUAGAAUUUUCUCAAUGAUGGUCACCUGCUCCAUUGUCUCACCAUGAACCCUCAUCUUAUUCACAAUCGUUAAUGUUCGAGCAAAAUAUUCAUCCACUUUCUCCCCUUCCUUCAUCUGCAGCACCUCAAAUUCUCUUCUUAAAGCUUGCAGUUGAGCCCUUUUGACUCGUGUUGAUCCCUGAUAUUUCUGCCUCAUAGAAUCCCAUAUGCUCUUAGCACUUCUUUUAUCAAGGAUAGUCUCCAUGAUAGUGCGAUCAAUGGACUGAAACAGAUAGUUCUUUACUUUUAAAUCUUUGAUUUGAAGUUGUUUUUGAGCCUCGGUUGGCACAGCUCCAGCUCCAUCUUCUACUGCUGAAGAAACUCCUGUUUCUAUUAGAUCCCAGUACUCCUUUGAACGAAGAAGAUUCUCCAUACGCAUAGCCCAGUGGUCAUAGUGACCAUCAAACUGAGGAAUGGUUGCUUGAACAUAUUUAUCUGUAGCCAUCUCAGCCUUCUCGUUCUCACAAAAGAAUAAUUCUCACAAAGUGAUCCACUCUUGCUCUCGUGUUUCACUCACUCUCGUGUUUCACUCACUCUUGCUCUCGUGUUUCACUCACCAGUUGCCAAGUGAUUGACUCUUGCUCUCGUGUCACUCACUCUUGUGUUUAGGAAUUGCAAUUCCAAACAGAACACUCAACCAAACUCUCUCUGUGUUGAGGCUCUGAUACCAAAUGACAGUUUCUUAAGCUCUUAAUUAUACAAACAAUUGUUAAAAGCAAGAAAACUAUAUUAUUUCAGAUGAGAGAUUAAGGCUUUAUAUCAGCCUUUACACAGCAGGAAUAAUGGAAAUAACGGAACCACUAAAGACGUGGUCAAGCGGUUACAAGAAAAUCGAAUUAAAAACUGAAGUCCAAAGGAUCCGGACAUUAUUAACUUAAAUAGCAGUAACGGUUAAUACUAAAUCAACACAACAGUCGAGAUCCAUAUCACAGUAUAACCUGAUAAGCUCUUCCAUUGAAAACAAGCCACAUAAAUGUUUUGAAUCGCUGGGAAUCGAUGAAAUGAUGAGGCAGAUGCAUGUGAAUCGGAAAGAUUUGAAUGUUGGACUACAAGGUCUUAUUUUCAAACAUCUUCUAAAGAAAGCUCAGAAGAUUAAGGAAGAUUUUAAUGUCUUUGAUAAGAACCUCAGAAGUAAAAUAAUAGGUCAGAGGGGAGAUGGUGUGCUAGAAGGAGAGGACUACAAGUGGUGCACGACUGAAGUAGAAUUCAGUCGGAGCAUUCUUGUUUGGCAUCUCGCAACAGAGAUUUGUUAUCUUGGUGAUAAAGAUGGAAGUAAUGUCUCCUCAGAAUUUGUUAUCAAUGGCAGAUACUUAUCUGAAUACAUGAUGUAUCUUUUGGUGAUAAGACCAAAUAUGCUCUCUAAAGGAUUCGGUGAUGAGGAAUAUCUAGAAACCUUGCGAGAGUUGCGAGGAUUCGGUAAUGUUGAUUUAAUUCUGGGGCGCUACAAUGAAUCACGUGGUUAUGAUGAUAUAGCGUUUCAAAGGCGCUGGAAAACAGAAAAGUCAGUGCUGAUCGGUGUGGAAAAGCUCGCCAGGCAAUUGCGGUCAUUGGAAUUGAAGAAGCGAUGGGAGAUGAUAAAUGAAGUUUGGGUAGAAAUGCUAGCUCAUGCAGCAGCUCAUUGUCCAUGGAAAGAGCAUACUCAACAACUGAGAAGAGGUGGAGAGUUACUCACUCAUGUCUCCCUUCUCAUGCUACAUCUUGGUUUGAGCGAACAGUAUGAAUAUAAAGGAUCAGACGACCUCCCCAUUCUUACGCGUUUGACAGGGGUAAGUAUACCAAAAAUCUUAGGCGUCAGAAUAAAAUAACAAAUCAGAUUAUUUCAAUUUAUAUAUGUUUGUUAUAUUCAUUAUUUUGGAAAUUCCAUUUAAAUGCUUUCAUUUCGUUUUCUUCAUUUUAUUAAUAAAGUGAUUUUAAUUGGAUGUCAUUUAAUUUAAAACGGUUGGAUGAUGAUUAAUAUUAGAUAUUUGCUUUUAUUGAUGCCUGCGUGUCUAAGAAAAAUUUGAAAUAAAUUAUUAAUAUUAGAUAUUUACUUUUAUUAACUGAUGCUUACUUGAAUUUCUAAUAAGAAAUUGAUUGAUGUUUCACCGCAAUCUUCAACAAAAACAAAAAGGAAAAGCGACAAGAAUAUUUGAAAGAGCCAGGUCUCGACAAGGUAUGUUCCACUUCCAUCUCAAUAAUUUAAUUAAAACCUUUCAAUUUACCCUAAACUUUUUUUAAAUAGUUUCCAUUUUUUUUCCUUUUUUUAAAUAACUAUCAAAACUUUUAAUUUUCUUUACAUUUCUCUUUUACUCUCUCUCAUAUUCCUUUAAAUAGAUGUUAUUGUAUGUCAUAAAAACAACACUUGAAAACAUUCCCAAAAAAGAAAAAUUCAAAAACCAAUUUUAAACAGUAAGCUUUUUAACGAUUAGGGUAAUAUAGGUAAUUUUAAAAACUAGAGAUAAUAUUGAAAAAUUUUAAACUAUAGGAGUAGAAGCAGAACAUUAAUUAAUCUAUGGAUACAAAAAUAAAAUUUACCAAAUAAUAUUUUUGUAUGUUAUAUAUGUCUUUCAAUAUGCUUAUUUUAAGCCAAGUUAUGUGACUGAUGAAUCACUAUUAGAGGCUCUGUGCUUGGGAAUGACAAUAAAUGUUUAACUCUCCCCUUCAGGAUUGCUUCUAAAUUAAUUCUAUACUUGCAUUAACAUCCAUCGAAGCUAAUUUCCAGUUUUCCAUACUCAUGCGAUUCUUUGCAUUGUACAUUUCCAUUAAAGAAAGUUUAUUGUUCAUAAAAAAAAUCAAAAUAAUUUACACUUAUCUCACAAAAUUAAUCUUAAAUAAUACUCUACUCAUCUUCAUAUCCAAAUCGUUUGAUUGUAUUACCUACCAUGACAAAAAAAAUUACACCCAUUCAUAUCUCCUUUCAAAUAAUGGAAGGUAGAACUUUUAGAAGUCGGUACAAUUAUUGUCUCCAACCUUUUUUGAUUUUUUAUACUUGAUAAAAUGAAUUUUUUUAGUAACAAACUAGAUAGACGACCUGUGAUUCGUUGCGGGCCGGACUGAUUUUUCUGCAGUGUAAAAAAACGAUGCCCAAGCAUAAUUAUUAGAUUUUAAAGAACGAAAAAAAUCCACAACUUGACACCAUAGAAAAAGAGUUAAAUAAUAAUAAUAAUAAUUGUCAAUCCCCUGGAAUAAAAAUAUAAAAGGAUAAAAUUAGGGGAAAAAAGACAAUGAAAAAAAAUAUAUUAAAAAACAAAGCACUAGCAAAAUCAAGUGUGGUUGUCAAAAUCCGCAAGUAGAACCAAAUGGUCAUGAUAACCCAAUAUAAGGUAAAAUAGAAAAAAAAAUAGUUGUAAAAAGAAUUAAAUUUUAAAGGACAUAAUAAAAAAGGAUGAAAAAAGCAACAUUAGAAAAACUUGGACUACCUAGAUAAACCCCUCACAUAGCUCAUGAGAUAGAGAAAACUUGAUUGUAAAGAAAACAAUGAUCGUCAAAAUAAAAUUGGGGAGCAAUAAUCAAGUGUAAGACGACCAAAAACUUGGGUUGAACCAUGUUUCGGUUAAACCGUGAAAAAUCCAAUCAAAAUAGGGUCAAAACCUGUUAACUAUUUUUUUCAAAAUGGUAGCAUUUUGACUUUCUCAUAACACAUAAAGAUUUAAUUGACUUGGGUUCACUCAAGUCAACCCACUCGACCUGUGACCCGAUAAUUGUCUCAGAUUAACUCUUGGGUAGGGCAUAAAAGCAAUAGGAAAAACCAAAGAGACCAAAUCCUAAUAAAUAAAAUAUUGAAAGAUGAAAUAAAAAAAUUGAAGGAUAAAAAAAAGCAAUUGAGUGAAAGGGACCUUAUUUGAAACAAAAAAUAAAAGGAUAAACAAAAUUUUUGAAUUGAAUGACAAAUUGUUUUUAAAAAAUCAAAUUAACAAAUGAAUCCAAAAUAAAAAAUAAAAACCAAGAGAAUGGGGAUCAAAUCUUUAAAAAAAAAACCAAAAUUAUGGAUCUAAAAAUAAAAUGGAAUACAAAUUAAAAUUUGAUAAAAAAAGAUGAAUGAUCAAAAUUAGAAAUUAAAACAUUGAUGAUUAAACCUUAAAUAUCAUCAAAUAUUGAAUUGAAGGGCAAAGUUGAAAAGAAAAAUCAAAUUCACAAAAGAAUAAAAAAAUAAAAGAAUACCAAUUUUCAACAAAGUUAAUGAUGAUGAAUGAAAUUUUUAUUUUUUUUAAAUGACUGAAGACAACUCAAUCCAACCUGUAAGAACUUGUGACAUGGAUCGUGAGGUCGAAUCACAAUAUAAAAAGCAAAUCCAAAAAAAUAACAAUGCAAAAUCCCUAGGAUGAAAUUUAAAAACAAUUUCAAUAAAGAAAAGAAUAACAACAGCUAAAAACAACAAUCAAAAUAAUAAGGACCAUAUUUGAUACAAAAAUAAAAUGUGAAGGAAUGAAAUUCAAAGACAAUUAAAUUAAUUCAAUCAAGGAUUCAGGACCAAACACAUCACAAUUAAAAGAAUGAAGACUAGAUUUAAUAUAAAAAUCAAGUGUAAAGGGAUGAAAUAAAAAAAAACUACUCAAUAAAUGAUUCAAGACCAAAUACAAUUUAAAGAAUGAGGACCAAAUCUUAUAUAAAAACCAAGUAUCGAGGGAUGAAAUUGAAAAAAAUAAAUUAGCUCAAUAAAUAAUUCAAGAUCAAAUACAUUGCAAUAAAAAAAAAUGAUGACCCAAUUUAACUUAACAAACAAAUAACCAUACUAUUUUGUGUUUUUGCAAUAACUAGCACGAUUUUCUAGAAGGAGAGGGAGGAGAGAGGAAGGGAGAGAAAAACUCAAGGUCAAUGCUUCUCUGCGUCACGACCGCGAACAUGUGCCUCACCGCCGUGAUGGGGGCAGUAAGGCGCAUCGAACACCUUCCUUAAAGUCGGUGUUCGAUGCAAUUUAGGUGCCGCACACACCACCUAAGGGGUGCAGACGACACCCACCUGCCGACAUGUGUGAAGCACUUGCCAUCCAUCUCCAAAUUUAAAUAAUAAUUUAUGCCUGUUAAAAUACAUAAAUAUCUCUAACACCACUUGAGAAUCACAACAAAGUCAUAUCAAAAAGACAAAACACCCUUAUUAGCGGUCUUGUUUUAAAAACUAGAAAAGACUGAGAAGCCAUUCAACCUAAGCUAUUUUUUUUCUCCUCCAAAGGUAUGAAUGUAAACACAUUGUUUUUGUUUUUUUUUUUUUUGUAAUUAGAUGAGGGAUCACAAUCUUUCUUUAUAGCAAGUAGAUGGGCACUACACCAAAGGGUUCUUAUGAUAUUAAUUAUAGCUCAAAUAUUCAUUAUCAUUUAUGAUCCUCGGAUUGUUCCUGAGUCUAGUCAAUAUUGAUGCCUUCGUGUCUAAGAAGAAUAUGAAUAAAUGAUUAAUAUUAUAUAUUUUCUCCUUUUAACUGAUGACUACUUGAAUUUCUGAUAAUAAAUUGAAUGAUGUUUCAUCGCAAUCUUCAACAAAAACAAAAAAGAGGAGGGGCAAGAAUAUUUACAGGCAAAAAAAAAAUACUAUAAGGGUAUUUCAGCCAAGUCAGGGUCGAGGCCCAAUGAGGUAUGUUCCACUUCCAUCUCAAUACUUUAAAACCUUCCACUUUACCUUUUAGUUGUUUUAAAUAGUUUCCAUUUUUUUCCAUUUUUUUUAAAUAACUAUCAUUUUCCUUACAUUUCUCUUUUACCAAUGUUAUUAUAUGUCAUAAAAACACUUAAAAUUGAAAAAGUUUAAACUAUAGGAGUAUAAGCAGAACACUAAUUAAUCUAAAGAUACAAAAAUAAAAUUUACCAAAUAAUAUUUUUGUAUACCAUAUAUGUUAUUCAAUAUGUUUAUUUUAAGCCAAGUUAUGUGACUGAUAAAUCACCAUUAGAGGCACCGUGCUUGGGGAUGACAAUAAAGGUUUAACUCUCCCCAUGAGGAUUGCUUCUAAAUUCUAUAAUUGCAGUAACAUCCAUCGAAGCUAAUUUUCAGUUUUCCAUACUUAUCUUUAUUGAAUAAAGAUUCAUGAUACGAUUCUUUGCACGGUACCUUUUCAUUAAAGAAAGUCUAUUGUCCAUAAAAAAAAAUCAAAAUAAUUUACACUUAUCUCACAAAAUUAAUCUUAAAUAUGACUGAUAAAAAAAUGUGACUUUUGAAAUUUAUAAAUAAGAAUGAGAAGUUUAAUUUCUAUCCUAGUGACUUAUCUUCACUCCCUUGUAAGCAUAUUAAUUGAACUUAACAAUUUAGCCUCAAGCCUCAAGCCUCAAGCCUCAAGCCUCAAGCAAGGAAGCUCUCUCAAAAGUUCUCAAGCCUUCUUCAUCUACGCUUGAAGUCUACAAAGAACGAAGCUUUAUUGGAACAAGCUUAAACGCCUCAUAAUUGUUCUUCAACAACACUUUAAAGACAAAUCAAAGGUACUCCUCAAAGCAUCAAAUCACCAAAUCUCGCUAAGUUCUGUUAGAUCAAGCCUAAACGCCUCAUAAGAGUUCUUCAACAACACUUUAAAGACAAAUCAAAGGUACUCUUCAAAGCAUCAAAUCAUCAAAUCUUGCUUCGCAAUACACACCCAAAUUCACGUUCUUGCAAAGCACAAAUCUUGGCUCAAUUUAUCAAAUAAAUCAAGUCACCAUACAUCAGAUCCAAGAGAAGAAUCAGAGGAUUGUCUUAUUCUCUUGAAAGAAUAUAUUAUAUAGAGAUUGUACCUAUUUAUAUAUUUAAUAAAAUUAUAUAGUCGUACACGUGUGCUUGUUUAAUUUUAGAUGCUAAAAAUUAUGUCUACAAUCCUGUAAAAAAAAACAGAGAGAAAAAGAGAAAGAAACGUUAUGGUUUAGUAAAUUAAUUUUAAACUAAACAAUUGCUAUCUAAAAAUAUUAGAAGUUGUAGGCAUUUACUGCAGAAUUGAUCAGAAGUUGGGAAAUGACUAUAUUAUUAGAUCACAGCUUGAAUGCGAAAUUUUUAAGUGUUUUAAUAGGAGAUUAGACAGUGUACUUACCAAACUGGAAAAGAAGGCGAAAUCCCUUCUUUUCUUUUUUUUUUUUAUUAAUGUGAGUGUACGUUCGGGCCAACUUGCGCGCAUCUCGACUAAUCUCACGAGUCCUGAAGUUAAUUAAUGACCAUGUAAACUUUCAGUUGCUAUCAUAUUAGUAAUUAUAGGGCUCGAACUUAAAACCAUAAAAAAAACAAAUCUCUUAAUUUCAAACUCUUACCACAAGAUUACCAGCUAGAUGGUUGAAAUCCCUUCUUUUAUUGGCUGUCUAGCUGUUACCUAAGGCACAAUUGCAUAAACAUCACUGCAACUCAAGACUCUUGGUUUUCGUACCUUUGUCCAUCAUUCCAUGUAUUGCUGCAGUGAUGAUCAUGAAAUUUAUUUCGUUUUUUUUCUUCAUAUAUAAUUUUCAUGUAGAGCCAUGUAUUACUACGAGGAUGAUAAUAAAAUUGGUGAAUUAUUAAAAACAAAAUCAAUAUAAUUGUUAAGAAUAUAAAAAAAUCAUUUUAAUACAAAAAUUUAAGUGAUUAUCCAAAAAAAAAAAACACAAAAAUUUAAGUUGUUCCAUAAAAUUUUAAAAAUAAUUUUAUAUAACACUUUAACCUUUCGGGAGUUUAAUGUUAAAGCAUCGUAUCAGCCAGAAAUUACUACUUAGCUCAAUGAUAUUUAGUUUUCCUUCUUUCAUGUGUCCCAAAAAAAAGAGAGAACUCUGCCAUCAAGAAAAAGGAUAGCCAAUUCAAUCUUGCAAACUGCAUUUUUUAUUAUUUAGCAUCUCUUCUUUGCUUGAUACCCAAAAAAGAACCUAAAGUUUCCCAAGAAAGAAGGCAAUCUCUGUCCUAGCCAGCUACCAUAUCUUAUGUAAUAAUGAUUUGCAAAGUUGGUCAGAGAUGUUCUAAAAUAACAAAAAACCUCUUUAAUCACCCAAUCAAUCUCUUAAAAUUAAGAUAUUAUAAAGACAUGAACAAUGCUAGUAAAACUCUCUCUUAAAAUUAUCCACAUUGUCAUUAAUUAAUUUACUUGCCAGCAACUCCCUUUUUUUUUUCUUCUUCUUCUUCUUCUUGUUAUUAUACUUAUAGAAAUCUUGAGGGGUAUAGCUUAACUGGUCAGGCUCUAGGUUUGCUCCUUAGAGGUUACCAGUUCGAGUCUCACAAACCUCAGGGCCAUUGGAGACUUACAUGGUCGUUAACUUCAGGGCCCGUGGGAUUAGUAGAGGUGCGCGCAAGCUGGCCCGGACACCCAUGUUAAUAAAAAAAAAUACUAUACUUAUAGAGACAAGGCUAAAUAAAUAUCAAAAUUAUGAUCCAUCUUCAAGAACAUGGAUCUCCAAAGGUUAAAAACUUCGCAAUUGAGUUCUUCCAUCCACAUUUUCUAAUAGAUUUCAUCAAGAAUGAACAUUCUAUGCAAUGAAAACGAUAUCAUUAAGGAUGACUAUCGUUGAAUAGGUUAUCUAUCCAAAUUUCUGAAUUUUUUCUGUGUUUUGAAGAUGCAAAAUUCCACUAGUGCAAGGCAGAAACUUAUUAGUAGCAGUAAAUGGUAGUCACAUAUUCAAACCUUUGGGAAGUUUAGUGCUUUAACAUCAUAUUGAUAUUCAGAUUUCCUUCUUUAAGUGUCCAGAAAGCAAUGCCCAUUGUCUAUCAAGAAAAGAAAAGUGGGGAAAAGCAACUAAUUUAAAGUCUCUUCUUUCUUGCAGCAUCUCUUUCUUACUAUUUAGCAUCUCUUCGUUGCUUUGUACCCAUGGCAGGUACCAAAUUCUUACUUGUAUAUGUAACUAUGGUUUGUAAAAGCUGGUAAUGCAAGCUUUAAGUUAAAGGAGAUAUAUCCCAGAAUUCACUUCCAUAUAUUAAUUUGUAAUGCAGCCCAUACCUUUUUCUUUGCUUGCCGCAACAACAAUAUGCAGCAACUCCUAUUUUAUGAUACCUUACCCAAAAUCUACUGCAGAAUUCUUUUCUCAUAAGAGUCUUUUCGCUAUUCAUUGUAAGAGAUUUUUUUCAAAGAUAUCCACAUUUACUUUUCCAUCUUACAAAACAGUUUUUUCAAGGGUUCAUCGAGAGAACUAGUUUCCACAGUUGAGGAAAAGAUGACAAUGCUUAAAAAAUUGCCUGAAGAAGUCUUAAAUUUAUGGAACAAUUGGGAGAUUCGAGGGAUGGUUUUGCUUAGUCUCUUACUACAAACCAUCCUCAUCGUAUUUGGUCCUCGGCGAAAGACCAUUGGAAGAAUCUGGAUCAGGAUUCUCGUUUGGUCUGCGUACCUAUCAGCAGACAUGGUGGCAACUGUUGCACUGGGUAAUCUAGCCAGGAGCCAAGGAGAUUCAUCAGGUGACAGUUCAGAGAAAGCAAACAAUUCCAUCCAGACAUUUUGGGCACCUUUUCUACUCCUGCACCUUGGUGGCCCAGACACAAUCACUGCAUACUCGAUUGAAGAUAACGAGUUGUGGUUAAGGC
RNAcentral lists this long non-coding RNA (14401 nucleotides) under Populus trichocarpa (black cottonwood). RNAcentral's name for it is "long non-coding RNA (PTRI_LNC003507)". Lineage: Eukaryota; Viridiplantae; Streptophyta; Magnoliopsida; Malpighiales; Salicaceae. The record is from RNAcentral.